UCUCAAACUAUAGCCUCGCUGUCUCUUUUCAUUCUCCCAUCCACUGUGUUUAUUAAAUACCCAGAUGCCAUUGUGGGUUUCUUUUGUGUCAGACCCAUUUUGCUCUUUGCUUAGGAAAAGCAUGUAUUCUCAGAGGUGACAGGAGGAAAGUUCUCAUCUUUGGAAUAUUUGUAUUCCACAAGUUGGCUUGGUAACUUCACCUCCUAUGAAAUGAAAUGCAUAGUACACUGUAGCCAACUGUAUCUACACUGCAGCAGACCUGGAUGCUGAGUUCUUGGUAGCUGGUCAUGGCACAGUUACACAAAGUUCCGAUUACAUGACUGAGUGAUC
RNAcentral lists this long non-coding RNA (330 nucleotides) under Bos taurus (domestic cattle). RNAcentral describes it as "long non-coding RNA NONBTAT022729". The record is from RNAcentral. Lineage: Eukaryota; Metazoa; Chordata; Mammalia; Artiodactyla; Bovidae.